This 460-nucleotide ribosomal RNA is filed under the name uncultured bacterium. RNAcentral's name for it is "partial 16S ribosomal RNA". It matches the Rfam family "Bacterial small subunit ribosomal RNA", at positions 338 to 795 of the family's 1533-position model. The record is from RNAcentral.
CCUACGGGAGGCUGCCGUGAGGAAUAUUGGUCAAUGGGCGUAAGCCUGAACCAGCCAAGUCGCGUGAGGGAUGAAGGAUCUAUGGAUCGUCAACCUCUUUUAUAAGGGAAUACAGUGCGGGACGUGUCCCGUUUUGUAUGUACCUUAUGAAUAAGGAUCGGCUAACUCGGUGCCAGCACCCGCGGUACUCCGGAGGAUCCGAGGUUUAUCCGGAUGUGUUGGGUUUAAAGGGUGCGUAGGCGGCCUUUUAAGUCAGCGGUGAAAGUCUGUGGUUCAACCAUAGAAUUGUCGUUGAAACUGGGAGGCUUGAGUAUGUGUGAGGCAGGCGGAAUGCGUGGUGUAGCGGUGAAAUGCAUAGAUAUCACGCAGAACCCCGAUUGCGAAGGCAGCCUGCCAAGCCAUGACUGACGCUGAUGCACGAAAGCGUGGGGAUCAAACAGGAUUAGAUACCCCUGUAGUC